AUAGCGUAUAUUAAAGUUGUUGCGGUUAAAAAGCUCGUAGUUGGAUCUCAGUUCCAGACGGGUGGUCCGCCUACCGGUGGUUACUGCCUGUUCUGAACAGCCAGCCGGUUUCUCUUGAUGAUCUUCACCGGUUGUCUUGGGUGACCGGCAAGUUUACUUUGAAAAAAUUAGAGUGCUCAAAGCAGGCGUGACGCCUGAAUAAUGGUGCAUGGAAUAAUGGAAUAGGACCUCGGUUCUAUUUUGUUGGUUUUCGGAACACGAGGUAAUGAUUAAGAGGGACAGACGGGGGCAUUCGUAUUGCGACGCUAGAGGUGAAAUUCUUGGACCGUCGCAAGACGAACUACUG
RNAcentral lists this ribosomal RNA (346 nucleotides) under uncultured eukaryote. RNAcentral describes it as "SSU rRNA". It matches the Rfam family "Eukaryotic small subunit ribosomal RNA", at positions 594 to 945 of the family's 1831-position model. The record is from RNAcentral.